UUCUAUUCCAUGUAAAUUAACCAAAUAUGCUUUUGAUUUUGUGUCAAAAGAAAUUCUUGAACCUGAUUUGAGGGGUAAAGACCCAACUACAAAAGAUAAAAGCCCAAGUCAAGAGCCAUUAAGCACCCUGGAGAAGAGAGUGUGUGGCAGUUCGACCAGAGCAAAGUACAAGUCAAUUUGUUUCAAGCAACAGUGCCAACACAGAAAAUUUAAGCAGCACAAGGAGGCCAAGGUUGAUUGAAAAUGAGGAUGGCUUCCUGGAGCUGUGCUGCUUGCAAGGCUUCCACUCUGCCUGCUUGGAUCCCUGGCUUCGAACUUGUGGUGACUGCCCAUAUUGUUGCAGAACUAUAACUAUAGUAACAAGUCACAACAAAGCAUCAAAGAGUUAGAUUUUUUUUUUUUUUUACUAGAAAUGUUUUUGUAAUCUGGGUUUUCCUACACGUGUGAAAGUUUUGGCACUGACCAAAUUAUUUUUUUUAAAUUUGUAGUUGUGUGCAUAUGUAAUUAUUGUAUCUCCUGCUCUGUUGUACACACGAGAGAAUCUGGUCUCAUUGUUUUUCUUGAUUGCUAUUUUGAAAUUUGUUGAAUACGUGUUUUCUGUGUUUUAUU
Quercus lobata is the source of this 609-nucleotide long non-coding RNA. RefSeq lists it as uncharacterized. Lineage: Eukaryota; Viridiplantae; Streptophyta; Magnoliopsida; Fagales; Fagaceae. The transcript has 3 exons. The record is from RefSeq and is a predicted model, not a curated record.